CUCUAAGUCUAUAGCAAAAUGUCUUGCAAACAGUUAAAAUAACUUUAUCACUCUACUUCAAUCAAACUGUACGUGUUCCUUCUCUUUACUAUUGGUUUUGUUCCUCAGAUUUCUUAGAGUAGUGUCUCUUCAAGUCCUGGUUUCCUGGAAACCAGCAACUGCUGUUCAAGCCGAAACUCCUUCAGAGGCAAAACUCCACCCUCAGUCAUCAGAGGCAGGAGCCUUCAAUUUAGACAUUACUGUCACAUCUUGUUGCUUUUAUUUUCCCAGCACUUUAUCUGUAUGUUUCAGAGACAUAUUUCCUGUUUCCAUUAUAUUUUUCAUUGACUUUUCUCCUGUAUUAGGGAAAUCUGAUUUUUUCCUUUAACCCACAGAAGAAUAUUUUUGUUUUCACAAAAUUAUGUUAAACAUAAUCAAGAAAUUAAUUGAUUACAUUCUAAUGUCUUAGCACAUGGAUUCAGAAUGGAUAUUCUCAAAAAUAUUUAAGGGAUUUUUUUAGCUACAUUUUUUUUUGAUUUAUUUUUCAAUUUAAGGAGGAGAGCAAGAAAACAAAACUCAGUUAAACUAAAAUUCUCAUGAUCAUAGAUUAUGAUAAGUUAGGAAGUCUGUUAGUAAGGCCUUGUUGGAGGGAUGUAAAUUCUAAACGGUUUCAAAGAAAAAAAGUGAAAGAAUGCAAGGAGUAAACAUUCCUGGUUGGGGAAGAAUCAUACACGAGAUUAUUGAAUAAUAAGGAACAAUAAUAAUGCGGGCAUGGAUGAGUUUGCUGGAACAGGGGAGGAGCACGCCAUUUAAUUGCAAAAAAGGUAUGACAUGUACCUAAGCCUUUGAUUUAAUCUUAUCAGACUGACUUCUCUAAUCAGAGUUCAUCUUUAUAUUGCAAAUUGAAUUAGAUUCUUGGAAAAUAUGUGUUAUGGUUCCAGGAUAUAAAAUUAAAUUAUGAGGAGAAAUGAUGCAAAUGAAUCCUAUCAUAAUCAUGAAAAUUUUACUUUUGUGUUUAUAUUCACAAGAGAUAUUGGUCUGUAGUCAGCCUUUCUUGUGAUGUCUUUAUCUGGUU
RNAcentral lists this long non-coding RNA (1054 nucleotides) under Equus caballus (horse). Its description in RNAcentral is "lncRNA (ENSECAG00000054262.1)". Lineage: Eukaryota; Metazoa; Chordata; Mammalia; Perissodactyla; Equidae. The record is from RNAcentral.